GGCUUAAUGAUAAUAAUUUUAAGUCUAUCUGCCCAAUGAUUUUAAUUUAAUGGCUGCAGUAUAACUAACUGUACAAAGGUAGCAUAAUCAAUUGUUUUUUAAUUGGAAACUGGAAUGAAAGAAUUAAUGAGAUGUACACUGUCUCAUAUAUAUGUUAUAAAAUUAAAUUUUUAGUAAGAAUGCUAAAAUAGAUUUAUGGGACGAUAAGACCCUAUAGAAUUUUAUAUAAAUAUUUAAAUUAAAUUAAUUUUUAAAUAUUAAUAUUUAAUUGGGAGGAUUGGUAAAUUUAAUAAACUUUAUUUAAAAAAUGAACUUUAAUUUAAGAAUAAUUAAUGAUUUUGUAUUAUAGAUUAUAAGAAAAAAUUACCUUAGGGAUAACAGCGUAAUAUCUUUUUAAAGAUCAUAUUGAUAAAGAUGAUUGCGACCUCGAUGUUGAAUUAAGAUAAAUUUUAAAUGGAGAAGUUUAAUAAUUAAGUCUGUUCGACUUUUAAAAUCUUACAUGAUUUGAGUUCAAAUCGACGUGAGU
This 526-nucleotide ribosomal RNA is filed under the name Bombus morrisoni. Its description in RNAcentral is "partial 16S ribosomal RNA". The stretch from base 374 to 526 matches the Rfam family "Bacterial large subunit ribosomal RNA", at positions 2473 to 2626 of the family's 2925-position model. Lineage: Eukaryota; Metazoa; Arthropoda; Insecta; Hymenoptera; Apidae. The record is from RNAcentral.